Molecule: long non-coding RNA, 581 nt
Organism: Mytilus trossulus (common blue mussel)
Lineage: Eukaryota; Metazoa; Mollusca; Bivalvia; Mytilida; Mytilidae
Exons: 3
Source: RefSeq, a predicted model, not a curated record
CCAUAUUUCGACGGAAUAUGGAAUCGUGUAUUACAGUUGUCACCUUCAGUAUUUUGGGAUAUUUUGUAGAUUUUUUGCAAAAUCCUUAUGUCGCCAUUAAUUUUAUUGACAUGCACCUACUAGACUGGAAACACGAAAUCUUUGAACCAGCAGUAAAUUAUUUUCCACAGUUUUAGCUAUUUACGUAAAAGAUGGCAUCCUGUAAACCACUUGUAGUUUUGAUAAUAGCUUCUAUACUGGUGUGUGCCAAUACACAGACAGCAGCAAUGCGAGUAUUUCCGAAAACAGCCAAUGGCAGCUUUGGCCGACCCGUACAAAAGCAACAGGUGAACCCGUUUAUGAGACUAAUGAUGAUGCAGUUUUUGCUGAAUGGAGAAUUCGAAAUGUCGGAUAUGAUGAAAAUGAUGAUGUUGUCAAGAGGUUUUCGAGGAUAACAUUGAAAUACUAAUUAUUUCAAUGGCAUGUAACCCCACACAUUACUAGUAUUUCACUUAUUUAUAUUCCUUGUUAAUUAAUAUUAUAAAAUUGUUGUUAUUUAUUAUACAUAUAAUCAUCAGUAAAGAAUUCCUCUUGCUAUGUGA